AGCCUUCGAUUCAACUAAUCUCUUCCUGGUAAAAACAGCAAUGGCACUAUGAGGACCUUUCAAGCAGGGGUGAAAUCCAGCAGGUUCUGACAGGAUCUGGAGAACCUAGAACCCUGUUAUUAAGCUGGUUAUUAAGACCAGCUGCCUGCAAUUACUGCAGGUUCGAAUCUCGCCAAGGCUCAAGGUUGACUCAGCCUUCCAUCCUUUCUAAGAAUUCUCAGAAACGAUGAGGAUGACGACAACACACAAGAUAAUGAGAUUGUAUAAAAAGAAACAGGCACUGGAAAGUCCCCUCCUCCUCGCAUUUAAUUAAGUCCUGAAGAAGGAUCAUUAGUGGAAAAACAGAAAUGUGUGUGUGUGAGAGCAAAGAUGUGAAAAUUUAAUGCUUAAAAAAUAAGAAUUCCACAUCAAUCCAAUAUCUCCAUGCUGUGAGAAUGGAACAAACCUAGGGGGAAAGUAUAAUAUUCCAAGAAACUGCAGCACUGUACAACAG
Molecule: non-coding RNA, 493 nt
Organism: Pantherophis guttatus
Lineage: Eukaryota; Metazoa; Chordata; Lepidosauria; Squamata; Colubridae
Source: RefSeq, a predicted model, not a curated record